Molecule: RNA transcript, 2393 nt
Organism: Xenopus laevis (African clawed frog)
Lineage: Eukaryota; Metazoa; Chordata; Amphibia; Anura; Pipidae
Gene: sf3b6.L
Gene name: splicing factor 3B subunit 6
Exons: 6
Source: RefSeq, a predicted model, not a curated record
GUUCAACGCUAGGGUUCGCCACAAGCAAACAACCACGUGACUCAAGGCGGACGUAACUUCCUAGGUCAAUAGAGGAAGUUGCCAUUACGUCGCACUCUUACACUUCCUGUUCCGGUCGGUGCGUGUGUUGCCGGGAAAUUGGUUUGUUUUUAUCGUAAGGGGGAAAGGUUUCUUAUCCAGCGGGCACCAUGGCUAUGCAAGCGGCCAAACGCGCCAAUAUUCGUUUACCACCAGAAGUGAACAGAAUUCUAUACAUUCGAAACCUGCCCUAUAAAAUCACUGGGGAGGAAAUGUACGAUAUAUUUGGCAAAUAUGGACCCAUCCGACAGAUCAGGGUUGGGAACACACCAGAAACCAGGGGCACGGCAUAUGUGGUCUAUGAAGACAUCUUUGAUGCCAAGAACGCCUGUGAUCAUCUCUCUGGUUUCAACGUCUGUAACAGAUACCUGGUUGUGUUGUAUUACAAUGCCAACAGGGCGUUCCAGAAGAUGGACACAAAGAAGAAGGAGGAACAGCUGAAACUUCUCAAGGAGAAAUAUGGAAUCAACACAGAUCCCCCCAAAUAAAUAAAUGCCUCCAACACAUCAGCCUUGGACUUGCUCUUGUCCCCGGUGCCCUCAUUACUGCCAUUAAGGAUUAUUAUUGCUCUGAGUGCAGACGAAGGCCCUGACAGAAGCUUCAUGGAAUGAGCAGUGACUUGUGAAUCAGAUGGGAAUCAUUUCAUCAUUUACUCCUCUGCUCAUAUACACUCAGGAGGAGGAGGUGCCGCCGUGCCUGACAGGAUGACAGGAGGCUUUGUCACUGCCACCGUACAGACCCGCAAAAGGGAAGGCGGCCAACGCAGAUGGGCUCCAAAGGAUGAAUUCAUGCAUCCGGGGAUGGGGUGCAAGGGACAGUUGAAACCGCAGAAGGACAUAGCAGGAUACACAGAUGUCAGGUUUCUGCAAAUGUACAACUAUAAAACACGUCUGCGACCUGUAAUGUUCCCUGUACAUUUCUGUAUGUCAUUGGCGUGGGAUAUGGAAUCAUUUCAGCCUUCGCUCUGCACUAGAACUGACUGUUCCUGGGAACGUUUCCCAGAUUAAAUAGUCACUAGGUUGGUGGUUCUAAUUCCUAAAUUAUACUCAAAAUACAUGAAAGUGGCACCAUUUGGCGAUUAUACAACCCGAUAAGACUAAUGUCGCUCUUGGGCGGGCCUAUUUAUUAUGCUGGGUAAAAAUAAUCUCGCUGAAGAAACGGUGUAAAAAGAUGUGUAAAAUAAAUGGCUGAUGUAACAAGGCUUGUAUGCCGUCCAAUUGCCGUAAUCUUAAAGGAAACAUAAAGCAAUUUGAUGUAAGAUUGAGCACUUUUGCAAUAUAUAUUAUUGGUUUUCUAGUUUUUAAGAUAUAACCAGUUUUACACUGCUAACAUAAUGAAUUCAGUGGCGUAACUACCAGGGGUGCAGGGGGUGUGAUCGUACCCGUGUCUGCACCCCCUUGGGGCCCACCGGAGCCAUGAUAGCAGUUAUUGUUGGAGGCUGGGCAGGGGAGAUUUUGCAGCAUGCAUGCCAACAGCACAAUUCAUAGGGGGUAGGGCCUGACGGGGUCCCAGGUACCCAUCCUGUACCAGGGGCCGCUGGCAAGUAGUUACGCCACUGAAUGAAUUUGGAACAGCAGCCCGCCUGUUCUUCAUUUCAACCAAAUAGCCACAGUUGCCACACAGUUAGCGAGCAGAGCAAUGUCGUGUGAUGGUGCUCUGCUCAGAAAAUACCAGUAGUUAGCACUAAAGAGACAACUGAUGUUACUCUGGUAUGUUCCAGGCAACAGGGCUGGUACUGGCCAGCUGGACUCCCAAGGCAAUCCAGCUUUCCACGACAUUGACGCGUGUGCUGACUUUUUCAUAUGAUCCAUCACCUGGUGGGGAACAAGGACCUGGACUAGGGGUAGGUGACAGAAGAGGUACGUACAUUGCACCCCCUAACAAUUGCACCCUAGGCAUGUUCCUCUUCUGUCUACCCCUAGUUACUCUGCUAGGCAAAGCAAUGUUCCUAAACUAUCCUCUUCCCAACAACUUCAUUUCCUGGUGACUGUAGCCUGUCAGACAAAAUGAGCAAUAGGUGGCUUUUUUCAUUCAAACCCAUUAUAUAAGCAAUGUACAAAAGGCUAAUAUCUUGAAAACUAGGGAAAAAAACUAUAUAAAUUGCAAAAGUACUCAAAAGAGCAAAUUAGCAUGGAUAUGAUCGGCCAUGACCCAACUAGACAAAACAAAGGUGGGUCAUGGCCAAGAUGGUACUCAUUUUUGCCUAUGAAUAAGUGCCAGUGGGUACAAAACGCGUAAGGCGGAACAUCAAUUGGUCUGUAUGCCCAUUUUUUAAUAUUUAUGCUGAAUAAAGAAUAAUUUUUUAAACUUUGAAA